UGGGGAAUUUUGGACAAUGGGGGCAACCCUGAUCCAGCCAUGCCGCGUGAGUGACGAAGGCCUUAGGGUUGUAAAGCUCUUUUGGCGGGGAAGAUAAUGACGGUACCCGCAGAAUAAGCUCCGGCUAACUUCGUGCCAGCAGCCGCGGUAAUACGAAGGGAGCUAGCGUUGUUCGGAAUCACUGGGCGUAAAGCGCACGUAGGUGGGCAGUUAAGUCAGGGGUGAAAGCCCGAGGCUCAACCUCGGAAUUGCCUCUGAUACUGGCUGUCUAGAGUUCGAGAGAGGUGAGUGGAAUUCCUAGUGUAGAGGUGAAAUUCGUAGAUAUUAGGAAGAACACCGGUGGCGAAGGCGGCUCACUGGCUCGAUACUGACACUGAGGUGCGAAAGCGUGGGGAGCAAACAGGAUUAGAUACCCCGGUAGUCCCUGAGCGGGCUGGCAAGGCGCAU
Molecule: ribosomal RNA, 447 nt
Filed under: uncultured bacterium
Lineage: Bacteria
Description: bacterial SSU rRNA
Rfam family: Bacterial small subunit ribosomal RNA
Source: RNAcentral